AUGAGCGCGGUAUUAAAAAAGGGCUCCUCUUUUACGUGGCAAAGUAUUAUGGCGGGAGUGGUUUCACUCAGGAAUGGCUAUAUAUGGAGAGUCGGAACAGGAGAAAAGAUUGACACAUGGAGAGAUGCAUGGAUCCCAAAUUGUGCAGAUAGGAAAAUUAUUACACCGAGAAGGGGGAAUCUCCUGACGAAAGUUUCUGAUCUUAUUAACCCAAUCACGAAUUGUUGGGAUGAAGAUUUGGUGAGACAAACUUUGUGGCCAAUUGAUGCUCGUAGAGUCCUAGCGAUCCCAAUCCCUAUGCACAAUAUGUCAGACUUUAUUGCAUGGAGUUAUACAAAAAUCGGUUUAUACACUGUACGAUCAGCGUAUGUGGAGGAAUGGAAAAAACAGCAUGGGAGGAAAUUGGAAUACUCGGAUGGCAUGGGUAGUAGUAAGGUCAAUCCUAUUUGGGGUAAGAUCUGGAAAUUAGCUUGUCCGGCGAAGGUUAAAAUUUUUAUUUGGCAGACGCUCCACGGGACUCUACCUUGUCGCGUUGCACUGGCCAAUAGACAUAUAAAAACUCAGCCAAUAUGCACAGCAUGUUUGGAUGGGCAAGAGGACACGAAACAUAUAUUAUUUCUGUGCCAGAAGGCAAAAGAAGUGUGGGAAUAUUUGGGAUUGUAUGAAGUGGUAAAAAAGUCCUGCAUCAUUGACCGUGCAGGAGAAGCAGUCCUUGAAUUCUUACUCCUUAUGCCUAAUCAUGAAUUACCUAUCUUGGGCUCCCGGAAUGCAGGGGAACUAAUCGCUAUAGCUGCUUGGUAUUUAUGGUGGAAUAGACGGAAACUAGUCCAUGAGGGUAAGUCUCAAUAG
Molecule: ribosomal RNA, 849 nt
Filed under: Triticum aestivum (bread wheat)
Lineage: Eukaryota; Viridiplantae; Streptophyta; Magnoliopsida; Poales; Poaceae
Description: partial small subunit ribosomal RNA
Source: RNAcentral